Molecule: non-coding RNA, 209 nt
Organism: Pelobates cultripes (western spadefoot toad)
Lineage: Eukaryota; Metazoa; Chordata; Amphibia; Anura; Pelobatidae
Source: the annotation of a GenBank genome assembly
CUGCAAUCAAAUGCCUACACUACUAUUUUUUUCCCUCUGUUAAUUUCUUACUUAAAAUGAUAUUGUGUAAACAAAUGUUAUUCAGUAUGCUAUGUGACUAUAAGCACGUACAGAUAAAUUGGUUAAAGUAAUGGAAUAUCAUUGAUAAGAAUUAUGUAAAGUAUGUAUUACGAGUUGUGUGUACAUAAAACUUGAAAAAACAAAAAAAA